This 600-nucleotide ribosomal RNA is filed under the name uncultured archaeon. RNAcentral's name for it is "bacterial SSU rRNA". It matches the Rfam family "Archaeal small subunit ribosomal RNA", at positions 80 to 681 of the family's 1478-position model. The record is from RNAcentral.
AGCGGACUGCUCAGUAACACGUGGAUAACCUGCCCUUAGGAUCGGCAUAACCCCGGGAAACUGGGGAUAAUUCCGAAUAGGCCAUGAAUGCUGGAAUGCUUCGUGGUUCAAAGCUCCGGCGCCUAAGGAUGGAUCUGCGGCCUACCAGGUAGUAGUGGGUCUAGAGUACCUACUAGCCUACGACGGGUACGGGUUGUGAGAGCAAGAGCCCGGAGAUGGAUUCUGAGACAUGAAUCCAGGCCCUACGGGGCGCAGCAGGCGCGAAAACUUUACAAUGCGGGAAACCGCGAUAAGGGGACACUGAGUGCCAGCAUAUUAUGUUGGCUGUCCACAUGUGUAAACGGCAUGUGUUAGCAAGGGCCGGGCAAGACCGGUGCCAGCCGCCGCGGUAACACCGGCGGCCCGAGUGGUGAUCAUUAUUAUUGGGUCUAAAGGGUCCGUAGCCGGUUUGAUCAGUCCUUUGGGAAAUCUGACAGCUCAACUGUUAGGCUUCUAAGGGAUACUGUCAGACUUGGGACCGGGAGAGGUAAGAGGUACCACAAGGGUAGGAGUGAAAUCUUGUAAUCCUUGUGGGACCACCAGUGGCGAAGGCGUCUUACC